This 232-nucleotide ribosomal RNA is filed under the name uncultured bacterium. RNAcentral describes it as "partial 16S ribosomal RNA". It matches the Rfam family "Bacterial small subunit ribosomal RNA", at positions 99 to 334 of the family's 1533-position model. The record is from RNAcentral.
CGGACGGGUGAGUAAUGUCUGGGAAACUGCCCGAUGGAGGGGGAUAACUACUGGAAACGGUAGCUAAUACCGCAUAACGUCGCAAGACCAAAGAGGGGGACCUUAGGGCCUCUUGCCAUCGGAUGUGCCCAGAUGGGAUUAGCUAGUAGGUGGGGUAACGGCUCACCUAGGCGACGAUCCCUAGCUGGUCUGAGAGGAUGACUAGCCACACUGGAACUGAGACACGGUCCAG